UUGCCUAGUGGUAAGGCUCUGAAUUCUCGUGCAGAAGGUCGUCGGUUCGAGCCCGGCU
RNAcentral lists this transfer RNA (58 nucleotides) under Chattonella subsalsa. Lineage: Eukaryota; Raphidophyceae; Chattonellales; Chattonellaceae. The record is from RNAcentral.